RNAcentral lists this transfer RNA (76 nucleotides) under Candidatus Omnitrophota bacterium. RNAcentral's name for it is "tRNA-Lys". It matches the Rfam family "tRNA". From Rfam's summary of the family: Transfer RNA (tRNA) molecules are approximately 80 nucleotides in length. Their secondary structure includes four short double-helical elements and three loops (D, anti-codon, and T loops). The record is from RNAcentral. Lineage: Bacteria; Pseudomonadati; Candidatus Omnitrophota.
GCCCGCAUAGCUCAAUUGGUAGAGCAAGACACUCUUAAUGUCGAGGUUCUAGGUUCGAUUCCUAGUGCGGGUACCA